Molecule: long non-coding RNA, 616 nt
Filed under: Homo sapiens (human)
Lineage: Eukaryota; Metazoa; Chordata; Mammalia; Primates; Hominidae
Description: non-protein coding lnc-ZNF479-12:1
Source: RNAcentral
UGAUCCUAGAAAAGAGGCUGCUCAGGAUGGGGAUGAUAGUUCAAUUGCUCCGGACCAACGCGUCUCCUCACGUGGUCAAGGCCUUCACAAACCCAAAGUGGAACGGCCAGGAAAACGACUGACAGCCGGCCACAUGAACCAGGCAGAGAUGCAGAAAGAGGCUCACCAAAGACCAGCCGACAUGCAAGAAAUAGCUUUCUGGCUCACAGGCACAUACGUCCAAACGCACAAACACACCAGGGCACGCAUACACAAACACACACCCACACACACACCGACAGAGAGAGGGAAAGAAACAGAGUGAGAGACAGCGAGAGAGGAGAGAAUGGGAGACACACACACAUACACAUACACACACCGUCACACGGCAGUGGCAUGGAAACACACCCUCCUCAGCCCGAAUGCCACCCCUGAGGCUGGGGGGUUCUGCUGUCGACGAGAAUGACCCUCGGGUGACAGAGCAGCCCAAGGGCACACAGGCAGGCCUGUCCUAGAGAUCACGGGGGCACGAAUUUGGGGAGACUCACCCGAACACCUUCUGGGCAGGCCUGAGGCUAGGCUGCUGUGGUGCUUCCUACGGACUCCGCCGGGGGUUUCUUCAUCCUGGUCGGCCCUU